This 496-nucleotide ribosomal RNA is filed under the name uncultured bacterium. Its description in RNAcentral is "partial 16S ribosomal RNA". It matches the Rfam family "Bacterial small subunit ribosomal RNA", at positions 28 to 506 of the family's 1533-position model. The record is from RNAcentral.
GAUGAACGCUGGCGGCGUGCCUAAUACAUGCAAGUCGAGCGAACAGAUGAGGAGCUUGCUCCUCUGACGUUAGCGGCGGACGGGUGAGUAACACGUGGAUAACCUACCUAUAAGACUGGGAUAACUUCGGGAAACCGGAGCUAAUACCGGAUAAUAUAUUGAACCGCAUGGUUCAAUAGUGAAAGACGGUUUUGCUGUCACUUAUAGAUGGAUCCGCGCCGCAUUAGCUAGUUGGUAAGGUAACGGCUUACCAAGGCGACGAUGCGUAGCCGACCUGAGAGGGUGAUCGGCCACACUGGAACUGAGACACGGUCCAGACUCCUACGGGAGGCAGCAGUAGGGAAUCUUCCGCAAUGGGCGAAAGCCUGACGGAGCAACGCCGCGUGAGUGAUGAAGGUCUGCGGAUCGUAAAACUCUGUUAUUAGGGAAGAACAAAUGUGUAAGUAACGAUGCACGUCUGGACGGUACCUAAUCAGAAAGCCACGGCUAACUACGU